RNAcentral lists this ribosomal RNA (497 nucleotides) under uncultured bacterium. RNAcentral describes it as "partial 16S ribosomal RNA". It matches the Rfam family "Bacterial small subunit ribosomal RNA", at positions 28 to 507 of the family's 1533-position model. The record is from RNAcentral.
GAUGAACGCUGGCGGCGUGCCUAAUACAUGCAAGUCGAGCGAACAGACGAGGCGCUUGCUCCUUUGACGUUAGCGGCGCACGGGUGAGUAACACGUGUAUAACCCACCUAUAAGACGGGGAUAACUUCGGGAAACCGGAGCUAAUACCGGAUAAUAUAUUGAACCGCAUGGUUCAAUAGUGAAAGACGGUUUUGCUGUCACUUAUAGAUGGAUCCGCGCCGCAUUAGCUAGUUGGUAAGGUAACGGCUUACCAAGGCAACGAUGCGUAGCCGAACUGAGAGGGUGAUCGGCCACACUGGAACUGAGACACGGUCCAGGCUCCUGCGGGAGGCAGCAGUAGGGAAUCUUCCGCAAUGGGCGAAAGCUUGACGGAGCAACGCCGCGUGAGUGAUGAAGGUCUUCGGAUCGUAAAGCUCUGUUAUUAGGGAAGAACAAAUGUGUAAGUAACUAUGCACGUCUUGACGGUACCUAAUCAGAAAGCCACGGCUAACUACGUG